GCCAGGCGUGGUGGUGCACGCCUGUAAUCCCAGCUACUCAGGAGGCUGAGGCAGGAGAAUCGCUUGAACCCGGGAGGCAGAGGUUGCAGUGAGCUGAGAUCGCGCCACUGCACUCCAGCCUGGGCAACAGAGCGAGACUCUGUCUCCA
RNAcentral lists this signal recognition particle RNA (148 nucleotides) under Nomascus leucogenys (northern white-cheeked gibbon). RNAcentral describes it as "Metazoan signal recognition particle RNA". It matches the Rfam family "Metazoan signal recognition particle RNA". Rfam says of the family: The signal recognition particle (SRP) is a universally conserved ribonucleoprotein. It is involved in the co-translational targeting of proteins to membranes. The eukaryotic SRP consists of a 300-nucleotide 7S RNA and six proteins: SRPs 72, 68, 54, 19, 14, and 9. Lineage: Eukaryota; Metazoa; Chordata; Mammalia; Primates; Hylobatidae. The record is from Rfam by way of RNAcentral.